ACGAUUAAACUAAGCCUAUUGUAGAUCCGGGCUAAUACAGUGUCCAUUAGUGUGAGAAAGAACAUAUCAGAGUGUCUCACUCACACUAGUGGACACUGUUACACUUGGUUUGUUCUUUCUAGCUGCACUGUUGCACCGGUGCAAUAAGUUAAAGUAAGACAAGUAUAUUUUUUCUCAUUCUAACUUAUUGCACCAGUGCAACAGUGCAGCUAGAAAGAACAGACCAACUGUGCUUGCUGGAAAGUAUACAUCUUUGGAUCCUGACUAGCAAUAUAAUAGUAUUACAUAUAUAUGUAAAAUAGUGUUACCUUUUUAGUGUAGGAUUGGUGUAGGAUUAUCACGAUGGAUAUUAAACAGAAAAUUAUACACAAGUUCAACGAACAAUUGGGAUCAAAUUUAAAAAAUCUUGAAGGAAUGUACAAUUUUCAAGAUUGUCUCAAAACUGAAAAGGAUGAGAUUGAAAAAUCACUAUCAAUGGCAUCGACUACUACUCCUUCCAAAGUAAAAAUGGUGAUAGAAAAUGCAGAAUAUGUCAAUUGCGAGGUUGAACAAUUGCAAGGAAUUUGUUUGGCUCUGAGCAACAGAAUCGAAAAGACGUUUGAUAAAAACGACAAGAAUUUAGAGUUACAAGAUGUUAUCAACAAGAUAGGUCAGCUGGACAAAUCAUUAUUCUAUAUAUACUUUGUAAGAUAUAUAGAAAAUAUGAGUGACGAAAUAGAAACAUCCCUAUUAUUUGGCGACGAUCGAUCUAUGAUAACGCUAUACAUGAGCUUGACAAACAUCAGUUAUCAGCUGCAGACGUCCGUGUGUCAUCAUCUGGUCAAUUAUGUUCAUGAAACUAUGCAUUUUUGGCACAAUCUGAUCAAAGAAAGGUUAUCUAAGGAAUACAAUGAUUUAUUGAAAACAUUGAAAUGGCCCUUUUGCGGAACCAACGCCACUUUAUUGAGCACACCUUUGCCAGAGAUAAUGACGAGAUUCAAGACACUCGUCGAAUAUCUUUUUCAUUUGCAGUUACCAGAAAAAAUGAUAAAACCUGUAGUAACGUCUGCAUUGUUGACAGACUUUGCUCCAGUUAGUUUGCCGAUCGCUCUUUUAGUAAGACCUCUUCGGCAAAGAUUUAUUUAUCAUUUUACAGGAGCCAAAUUAACAAACCGUCAAGACAAGCCAGAGUGGUUUUUUACUCAGAUAUUAACGUGGAUUAAAGAUCACGUUCAAUGGAUUCAAAAGAACAUUCAACCAAUAGUGAAUUCUAUAGGUUUCGAACACUUGGAUAUAAAGGUCGAAUUUAUGCGCGCUUUAGUUGAGUUAGCUGUUGAAAAGCUUUAUUCCGAAUUGUCCAUAGUGCAAUAUGAUGAUACUCUGCUUGCACAUUUAGUAGAUGAAGCUUUGGGAUUUGAGAGAGAGCUACGAGAAACUUUGUUGUAUCCUCAAACUCAGCCCGCUACUAUUUUUGUUCUCACACAAGCCCACAUUUUUGUAAAAUGGAUAAACAUGGAGAAAAAAUACGCGACUGAAAAAAUGGAUGCAAUAUUAAGCUCAAAUACAGCAUGGGAAAGACUAAUGGGUCCUGAUAUAGAUGACAUGAAAGUCACUGAGUGUGCGGACGCCUUUCUUACGCUUCUCAUUACAAUUUCUGAUAGAUAUAAAUAUUUGCCUCAGCCUGGACAUAGGUUACAAUUUCUCGAGUUACAAUUGGAAUUGGUUGACGAUUGGCGAGUACGAUUGCUACAAUUGUUACAUGAAAAUUAUGAAGAUCCGUUAACAUCGCUCAUGCCGUAUAUUCUCAACACGUUACAUUAUGUCGCGAGUGUUUUGGAGGAAUGGGGCACGACUGUUCAUUUUUUACAGCUACAUUUCUUUAAGAAACAAUUCAAAGCUAUAGAAAAUGCUACUGAUAAAGGCAAUGACGUUAGCGAGAAUAUUGGAGAAAUAGAAGGAACCGUAUUUGAUGAAGCUGUGGUCCUCCUGCAACGAUUAGAGAAAGAGCUGAUAAACGAGAUCAGCGAUUCAGUGGCUCUAGAUAUAAAGGCAAAGAGUAGAGCUUACAGGACGGAUAAAUGGUUUGCGAUGCAGCCUUCGAAAGAAGUCUCUUCAUUAUCGGUAACACCAAGCGGUUGUUCCAUGUUCCAAGAACUAGCCAUGCGUCUUCACAUGUUGCAUAAUGUUCUAGCCUUACCAUUGUUUAAUCAAGCUUGGAAGAGUUUGGCUGCUCAGUUAGAUCAAUUUCUUUUCGAGGAAGUUGUAUUAGUGAAUCAUUUUAAUAGAGGCGGCGCCGAGCAAUUACAGUAUGAUAUUUUGAGGAACUUAUUUCCAUUAUUUAGUCUGUACAUCAACAAACCGGAGUCGUACUUUCCUUUGGCCUAAGAAUCAAGUGUCUUCACCGCCUACAGUGCUCAGCCUUUACUCGCGUAGCAGUCACUAGAACAAACGUUCCAUUGCGAGAUUACACCAAGAAGAAUAAUGUGCUGUAGUGCGCUUUUCUGGGCAGAAGGAAUGACGAUUGAAAAUUCGCCGUCGAAUCGAAUAUUGGCUCAGUGUAUAUAGACAUAGCAUGAAUCAACAAAAGUUGUGUCUGCUUAUGAAUGAAUAGAAAGAUUUAAACCAGGAAGAACAAAUUUCACUGGAAGGAAUUGAAGAAAGCGCUGCGCAGUCGUAGGUUUAUUUCUGAUAAUGAAACAGUGCACACUUGGCUUUGGGAGUUGAAAAAGUUCUUUUCUGCAGAGAUACAGAAGUUGAUUGAACGGUACAACAAAUGCAUCAUCUAUUCAUGGAGACUGUGAACAUGUUCAAUUGCUUACAGUUACUUCUAUUAAAUUCAUUAAAUGUAUUUUGUCUUUAGUUUUCGAUUCUUCCUCGUGUAUAUUGCAGCAAUAUUACAAUGUAAUAUGUAUUUAAUAAUGUAUAAUAUUUUGUAAUAUCAUGAUAA
RNAcentral lists this unclassified non-coding RNA (2926 nucleotides) under Monomorium pharaonis (pharaoh ant). RNAcentral describes it as "rAD50-interacting protein 1, transcript variant X6". The record is from RNAcentral. Lineage: Eukaryota; Metazoa; Arthropoda; Insecta; Hymenoptera; Formicidae.